This is a non-coding RNA of Vicugna pacos (alpaca), 99 nucleotides long. NCBI's taxonomy places the organism in Eukaryota, Metazoa, Chordata, Mammalia, Artiodactyla, Camelidae. The record is from RefSeq and is a predicted model, not a curated record.
CCAAAGUGCAUUGCCACCCACAGUGCAGGAAGGUUCCCUUUUACUCACAGACUCUCCAGCAUUUAUUAUUUGUAGACUUUUUGAUGAUGGCCCUUCUGA